AUUGAACGCUGGCGGCAUGCCUUACACAUGCGAGUCGAACGGCAGCAUAGGAGCUUGCUCCUGAUGGCGAGUGGCGAACGGGUGAGUAAUAUAUCGGAACGUGCCCUAGAGUGGGGGAUAACUAGUCGAAAGACUAGCUAAUACCGCAUACGAUCUACGGAUGAAAGUGGGGGAUCGCAAGACCUCAUGCUCCUGGAGCGGCCGAUAUCUGAUUAGCUAGUUGGGGGGGUAAAAGCUCACCAAGGCGACGAGCAGUAGCUGGUCUGAGAGGACGACCAGCCACACUGGGACUGAGACACGGCCCAGACUCCUACGGGAGGCAGCAGUGGGGAAUUUUGGACAAUGGGGGCAACCCUGAUCCAGCAAUGCCGCGUGAGUGAAGAAGGCCUUCGGGUUGUAAAGCUCUUUUGUCAGGGAAGAAACGGUUCUGGAUAAUACCUGGGACUAAUGACGGUACCUGAAGAAUAAGCACCGGCUAACUACGUGCCAGCCGCCGCAGUAA
RNAcentral lists this ribosomal RNA (502 nucleotides) under uncultured bacterium. RNAcentral describes it as "partial 16S ribosomal RNA". It matches the Rfam family "Bacterial small subunit ribosomal RNA", at positions 30 to 523 of the family's 1533-position model. The record is from RNAcentral.